AGGUGGCACGCAGUAUGUUUUUACGUCACGGAGUGAGCCAACUCCAGUGAUGUCCUUUCUCUCUGUCUCUCACAGAUCACCUGAGCUGGUGGGAGUGCAAACUUGUACAGGCCUUGUGGAAAUCAGCCAUUUCUCAGAAAGAUGGGAAUUGAUCCACCUCAAGAUCUAGCUAUACCACUCAGCCAUUGAAAAUGACAUCAUGAAAUUUGUAGGCAAAUGGAUGAAACCAGAAAAAAAUCAUCCUGAGUGAGGUUCUUUGAUACAGAAAGGUACUUUGCUACCAGAGGAGAAACGUAAACACGAACCCAUCCACAACCCUUUAUCUAUAGUGCUGUUAGCCUCCAAGAUCUGCUAAUGCAACAGCGGCACAAAGUGUGAGAGGAACCAACCAAUAUCCGAUUUGGUUUAAACACAAGAUGGAACCCAAACCCAACACCACUUGGGUGGCCAAGAACCUGAGGCUACGUAGCCCAGGGACCUAGGGUAAAACCAAAU
Molecule: long non-coding RNA, 495 nt
Organism: Peromyscus eremicus (cactus mouse)
Lineage: Eukaryota; Metazoa; Chordata; Mammalia; Rodentia; Cricetidae
Exons: 3
Source: RefSeq, a predicted model, not a curated record